This 577-nucleotide unclassified non-coding RNA is filed under the name Hevea brasiliensis (rubber tree). Lineage: Eukaryota; Viridiplantae; Streptophyta; Magnoliopsida; Malpighiales; Euphorbiaceae. The record is from RNAcentral.
ACAACAUGAAUAUAGUCACGUACCUGAAAGGAGAUGAGUAUCAUUAAGAUGACUAGACAUUAAAGAAUGGGUUAACAACAUACUCUUCCUAAAGAAGUUAAUUAAUAUAUAAUAUACACAAACCAAUUACAAAAUAAUGGUGAUGAUAGAUUCCAUAAAGCAACACAAAUAUAUAUAUCCAUCUUGUAGAAUAACAUAAUGACUGUGCUGAAGCUAGAAAACUACCAACCCCUGUUUUUAACCAGCUUCAUUUACAAUAGACAUUGAGAUGAACACUACCUAGAAUGCAUAUUUUACUACAGGACGACCAGUUGCGGUUUCAGAUACAAUCUUAAUCACAUUAUUGACAAUUACUUUUUAAUUUUUUUUAACUUUAUUUUUUCUUCUGAACACCAAACUGUGCCUGACAAGUUCAAAUCCCUCCAACCUUAAAGGGGACAUAUUGACCACAGAAUUUAAUAAAACAAUAUAUGUUUUGCCCAACAGACAAACUUCCAGAUAUAUGAACAGAAUAUAUAAAUUUAACAAGGGCCUCAUACUGGCAAUGACAGCAUACCCCGGUACCAUCUUUGGUUGU